UUUUUGGUAGCUCAGUGGUUAAGGCAUUGGGCGUCUGUUCAGAAGGUCAUGAGUUCAAAUCCCAUCACCACCAAG
Non-coding RNA from Pangasianodon gigas (Mekong giant catfish), 75 nucleotides. Lineage: Eukaryota; Metazoa; Chordata; Actinopteri; Siluriformes; Pangasiidae. The record is from the annotation of a GenBank genome assembly.